RNAcentral lists this long non-coding RNA (5120 nucleotides) under Brassica rapa (field mustard). Its description in RNAcentral is "long non-coding RNA (BRAP_LNC008332)". Lineage: Eukaryota; Viridiplantae; Streptophyta; Magnoliopsida; Brassicales; Brassicaceae. The record is from RNAcentral.
UGGGCGUCCUGUGUGUGCUGACGGAUAGCCACGAACACCCAUGGACUUCCUGUGUGUGCUGGCGGACACCCACGGACGUCCUUUGUGUACUGAACUGACAGCCCACGUGGGCCAAAAUCACCCAAACAGUCCACGGGAAGUGUAGAAACCCGUUAAAAAAAAAAAAAAGAGAAAAGAGUGGUCGAGUAUCUUUGUGGUGGUCGAGUCGCGGGCGAUAAGGAUCGAUCGAGAAGUUUUGAAGUACGAGAAGGUCAAAGAAUGGAUUGUGAGUGAAGCUUGAGUUGAGAUAAGCUGCUCUACCAUUGUUAGAAAUGUCUUAGAUUGAUCAGACGGCAGUUUUGGAAGAAUCACAUUUUUGAAGCACGACGGUUUAGAAGCUCGACGUUUUUGAAGAUUGACGUUUCUUCAUUGCGAAGUUUUCUCGGAAUAUCUUCGUAUCAGUAAAAUAUUAUUCUAAAGACAUUAUAAGUCGGAAGCAGGACGGGAAUUAAGCAGGACGGGAAGCAAGCACGACGGGAUUGAAGCACGACGGAAAAACCAGAAGUUGGGCGAAAACCCUAAUUUCGGUAUUACAAAAUUCUUUGAGGAAGCCGGAGGCUCGGGAAAUAUUUUUAAAGGAUAUCAGACAUCAUCUGUAGUUUAUUAAAAAUAUUCAGAGAAUCAGAAUGGGAGCGGAAAAAUAUUCGGGAUUAAUCGCGGGUCAGAAAUUUACCGGAAGGACCGAAAUCAGGCCAAUGGACCGAGAAGCUCGAGGUGGCGUGUUGCAUGGGUUCAGUACGUGGUGUCAACCAUCUAACAAGCUCAGUGUCAACACAAGGAGGAGGUGUAGACGUGCAUGGAAGCAGUCCAUGCAGCCAGACACAUAGAAGUACGAGGUGGAACGGCCAAGCACGAGGUGUCUCCGCGCAUGGAACCGAAGCAUGCGGCCAGCCAUGUGUGUGAUGCUGUGGCGCCUUGCAUGAGUUCCAGUCAUGCAGCCUGACAUCUGGGAGGAGUGGUGGCGUCCUGCAUGUGUCCUGGACAUGCAGCCAGCCAUGUGGAGCACGAGGUGGAUCGGCCAAGCACGAGAUGUCGCGACGCAUGCAAUCGAAGCAUGCUGAUCGACAUGUGUGAGGUUGUGUGGCGCCUUGCAUGAACUCCAGUCAUGCAGCCUGACAUCUGGGAGGAAUGGUGGCGUCCUGCAUGUGUCCUGGACAUGCAGCCAGCCAUGUGGAGCACGAGGUGUCGCCGUGCAUGCGUCCGGAGCCAUGCGGAGCGACACACGGGCUGCCACCAACCUGAAGCUGAUUGGCUGGUGUCUCCUAUAAAUACCCCACGACCCCAGCUCAUUUCUUCACAUCCAGACCUGUCCAAACCAAGUUAAAACCUUGAGAGAAAAGUAGAAAAAGAAAGAAAGUGGUUUCGAGCUAUUUCGAGAGUUUUAGAGAGUUUUCGAGAUCAGUUCUCUAUUGAUUUCGAGUCAUCGCCUUGGGAAGGUUCUGUCCAACUGAAGGUCAAUCAAAUGAGAACAGCUCAGAUGGGAAUCAAGUCAACGUGGCCAGAGAGAAGAGAGAGAAAGGAAGUGUUCGAUCUAGAGUUUGAUCGAUUCUGAAGACCGAUACUCCACCGAGAAGGUCAGUUCCGUCCAAUCGGCGAUUCUCUACGAUUGUGACGCGGAAGCUCUGUCCAAUUCAAUCCGUCCAAGCCAGUCAUAUUCUCCUACAAUCAAGUGGAGGUGCUGUACAAGAUUAGUUCAGUUCCAUGGGUUCAGAUCAGUCGAAGUUCUCCUCGAUACUCCGCCGAAAUGUCCGAAGAACUGUCCAGCAGCUAAAGGAGAUUCUGUCCAGAUCAGUCUGUCCAGACGUGUCAGUUUCUUCAUGAUGAAGCCGAGGUUAUGUCCAAGUCAAGAUCAGUCCAGUCCAGUCCAGUCAAGGCGUCCCUUGGAUUUUGGCCAAGUCCUCUCCGAUCAACCAGCGGCUUCUCGCCUAGAACACUGUGAGUUGGUUUGUUUGAAUUCCACUUGGAAUUUAGGGUAGAUCGAGUCUGCAUAUAGAUUAGAAUGAUCACGUUAUUGAAUGGUAGAGUCCUUAGGGUUAUUUUAUUUAUGGAACCGGACUCAGUUUAGCAAGGGCUAAGCUGAGAUGAAUGGAAUUAAGACUGAGAUAAUAACCUGACUAGGACUAGGGCUAGGAUGCAUCAUGUUUUCUAUUAUUGCGUGUUGAUAUGUUGAGUGCAGGUUCCCGUUAUCUUUAAAGAUAGUUUCUCAGCGGGAGGCUGGACUAUCUGGGUAACGGUUUGAUUGUAUUGUUUAGUAUUGAUAUUAUUGUUUAGUAGUUAGUACUAAGGGUCUUAGGCCAUAUAGGCCGGACUACUGGUACUAUGGUUUGUGUUGUAGAGUUGAGUGUCUAGUUAGGAUCUGGAACUUUAUCUUUAGGUUAGGUUCUAGAUUGAGUUUGUGUUGUGUGAGUGUGCCGACAGUAUGUGCGUAACCCGCCCAUACUAGGCUUGUGUAGGGGUGAUUAGUGUUUCCUCGGCCUCGUACCCAGCGGGUUCAAGGAAACCCCUUAUUCGCUGGAUCGGGAAGACUCAGACGAACGGUGUCAUGUACUAUGGCUGAGUAUUACACGACGGUGUAAUGUGGCAGUGACCCGAAGGACUGUGGGCUGUCGCGCGGUGACCCGAAGGACUGUGGGCCGCGGUCGGUUGAAAGUUCCUUCUUCUGGCCUUUGUGGUAGGGAGAUAGGAUAUUGCCGAUAGAGAGGAGGAACACGAAGUCACCAGGGCCCAGGUUAGAGUGUUGUGUUAGAGUGUCGUAGAGGGUUAUGGAACCCUCGAGUUAGUGUAGCACCGAUAUACGGUGUUACAAGUUAGAUCGAGUCGUAGUUACUCAUAGUCUUAUUAGUGUGAUUGUGUUUGUGGUUGAUUGAUUUGCUUGCAGGUUCUGACAUCAAGUCCUAAGUCUGGCUUAGGUACCGGAUUAGGCUUGAUGUGUAUUUUGUUAGUGUAGGCCUGACGUUGGCAUAUAUGUGUUUGAGUGAUUGCUUGUGAAGGGUGGUGGAUAUUAAAGCUAUGUGGUAUCAUUGGUUGGCCGAUCAUGUUCUUGUUUGAUUGUUGGUCGAUCGGCCAAUGGUACUUGUAUAGUCUAAGUGUCUAACACUACAUGAGUAUUGAACUCAGGCGUAUAUAUGGUUAACUAGGGAUUGCUUGUUGACUUGUUUUAAUGCAGGUCCCCGUUACUUGAAGCUAGAUCUUGGCAGGAGGCCUAGUCUAACUUAGUAACGGUUUGCUUAGCCUUAGCUUUUAUUGCAUGUUAGGGCUAGAUUGAUUGUUAUUUUGGGUUGUCCGGGUUAGAGUCUAGGUUGCGGGUAGAGGCCGCCAGCUCACUGAGUAACAUUAGGUUACUCAUCCAACUCCGUUGUCCUUUUUGCAGGUCGCUUUAGGUAAGGAUGAUCGGAUAGCUUGGUGCUGGACGUUAGGACCGCCGGUGUAGAUUUUCAUGCCUUUUGUAAACGGUAUUGUGGAUUUGUGUUUAGUUGACUCGAUUUGGCAUUAGGCCGGGACCGGUCUCGAAUUAUAUCAAUGUAUGGAUAUUUCUCGAAUCAAUAAAGUAAUUGUUUUAUAUGCGCUUCAUGAGUACUCUGAUAUUUGACUAGUCCGGUCUAACACAACGUUAGGUCGAGGUACGGGUUGAAAAGCCUUAGGCCUUGAUCUAACGGAAAACGCUAACUCUAGGUACGGGUUGCAAAGCCUUAUGCCUUGACGCAGCGGGACGAGUUAGUGGAUGAACUGGUCUAGGUCGUGGAGUAAAGUUUGUGACUCUGACCGGAUUGUCCCUAGCCCGUCACGUAGCGCUUCCGGACCAUGAUGUUGGGUUGGACGGUCAGUCAUGUUCUUGUUUGAUUGUUGGCUGGCCGGUUGGCCUUUCAUCUCCAACCCUUGGUGUGGGUCGUCCGUCGGUCAUGUUCUUGUUUGAUUGUUGGCCGGUGGGUCGACCUAUGCUUAGGACGGUUCGGGGGUGUUACAGAGGUGGUAUCAGAGCAUGGUUUCGUCCAUGCUUCCAGAACUCAUGAUUUAAUCGGUUUUAAAUAUUUAUCGAGUCAAAUUGAGUCACAAAAGGCAUUAGGGAAACCGGUCACGUCCAGCGAUAGGAUUUGUGGUUUUAGGAAUUAGGAUUGAGAUAGUGGAAUCUAGAACUGUUAGGUUGCUUGGGUAGAACUGUUAGGUUGCUGGUUAGAAUUGCGGUUAGGUUGCAUUGUUAGUAUUUGCUGGGUUUGUAGAUUAUUUGAUUAAUUGUCUACUAACUUGCAUGUUAAGUGUUCUUUUGAGUUGCAGCGAGUAAGUAUGUUUGUUGAUCGGAACUUUAAGGGAUGAAAACCUUAAAGUGGAGGGAGUUCAAGGCCAAACCCAAACCCGAAGCGAAAGAGGAGAGACAGUUUCAGAGGGACUGGAUAGUGGUAUGGACUGGACAGAUGGGAGGAAACAAGACUUCAUUGGGGAAGGACUUCAUCAGUAGUUGGGAAGACGAAGAUCGAGAAAGGAUUUCAGGAAUCUGGUCAAGUUAGUAUCAUGGGCAAUCAGUGUUAUGACAGAAUAAGAGAAAGAAGACGACUCAGUCAAGAGAUAUGAAGAUGAUUGUGGAGACCUUGAGGAAGACACUCAAGGAACAGUUGUGGACAGAGUAAAGAGGUUAUGGAGACGCUUGGAGAAUGUUGUGAAGACGAGCAAUUUCGCAACUAAGAAUUCGAGGACGAAUUCUAUUAAGGGGAGGAGAAUGUAGAAACCCGUUAAAAAAAAAAAAAGAGAAAAGAGUGGUCGAGUAUCUUUGUGGUGGUCGAGUCGCGGGCGAUAAGGAUCGAUCGAGAAGUUUUGAAGUACGAGAAGGUCAAAGAAUGGAUUGUGAGUGAAGCUUGAGUUGAGAUAAGCUGCUCUACCAUUGUUAGAAAUGUCUUAGAUUGAUCAGACGGCAGUUUUGGAAGAAUCACAUUUUUGAAGCACGACGGUUUAGAAGCUCGACGUUUUUGAAGAUUGACGUUUCUUCAUUGCGAAGUUUUCUCGGAAUAUCUUCGUAUCAGUAAAAUAUUAUUCUAAAGACAUUAUAAGUCGGAAGCAGGACGGGAAUUAAGCAGGACGGGAAGCAAGCA